Long non-coding RNA from Agrilus planipennis (emerald ash borer), 5098 nucleotides. RefSeq lists it as uncharacterized. The transcript has 3 exons. The record is from RefSeq and is a predicted model, not a curated record. NCBI's taxonomy places the organism in Eukaryota, Metazoa, Arthropoda, Insecta, Coleoptera, Buprestidae.
UUCAGCUUUGGAGUCGAAUGCAAUUUGAAAAAGAAGGAUUUAAAUAUUGAAUUACAUCAUUCGGUUACUGAUUGUGAAGUAAACAAUAGCAUAUUAAUAGAUUUUAAAAAUGAAUAUAUUUGGUGUUGUGGAAUGUUACAAAAAAAUGGCCACUGUUUGUAUACAAGAGACUUUUAUGCAGAAAUACAACAUCGCCUAUUAAAAAGUGUUAAUGGAACUAGAAGUGGGACUAUACAUACCUGUAGCUGUCUUGGUCUCGUUGGUGGUCUUGAAGUUCAUGUUCUACCUACUAUUUGGAUAGUAUUAGAGCUACUUCUAAUUUUACCAGUCAAAAGCAUUUAAGGACUGAGAGCUAGUUACUUUUAUAAGUUGAUUUAUUAAAAACUCGAGGUAGGAAUGGAGGUUUUCGUAUUCAUACAGUUAGUAUGCAUAGGUAAUAUGAUACUUUUCUAGUUAUUGUGCUUCGCUUAUACAAUGUAACACACAAACUUUUUCGACUGUUUAUCACAAAGAAGUAUCUCAUCAUUGUUAUUAUGAAGUCUGUAUAAAUAAGAAGAUGGUAUGAAGUAAUUACUGUGAAAAUAAAAGUUUUAGGCCUCAUUCACAUACAACUGUGAAUUUGUAUUGUAAAAAUAUGCACAAGUAGAUUUAAUGAUUUGAAAUAACAGUACAUAUAAUACCUUUGUAGACGUGGCUUUGUUUUUAUUGGUUGGAUUGCAAAACUAUUUGCAGAUUUAAAGUCCAUGUCAUUUUUGGAAUGAAGUUGCCUUAUUAUAAGAUCAUGGAUCAAGAGGAUAAGAGAAAAGAAUCUCUCAAAAAUAAGCAAGCACAGUGUUUUACUUCCAGUGGGUAUAUUUCAUUUAACUGACGUCCAUUUUUGAAUCUACUUGUAGAUUUGAUUCUACAUAUUUUACGCAUGGAAUGAUGAAUUUAAUUAAUCUUAAAAUACUUACUUAUAUAUGUUUAAGCAAAUUUAUGAAAGUUGUCUAUGUAACUAAGUACAAAGUUGUGUGUUAGAUGCCACUUUUUGUUUUAAUUGAGGUGUAAUUCAAAAUCUGAUUGUUAAUUUCAAUUCUACGAGUUAUUUUAAAUGUAUAUGUAAAUGUAUGCUAUUAUAGAAAUACUUUUUGUGCAUGUUGAAAUAAAUUUAGGAAACUGAAGUGUGUAACAGAGCAUAAAGUUGUACGUCAGAUAUCUGUAUUUUUUUUAAUUGAAGUCUAAUUGUAAAUCUGAUUGCAAAUUUAAAUUCUACGGGUCUUUUUACGUUGAUCUGUAUAUGUAUGUUGUUAUAAAAUUACAUUUUGUAUAUAAUGAAAUAAAUUUAGGAAACUGAAGUGUGUAAGAGAUCAUUAAGUUGUACGUCAGGUGUCUGUAUUUUUUUUAAUUGAAGUCUAAUUGUAAAUCUGUUUGCAAAUUUUAAUUCUACAGGUCUUUUUACGUUGAUCUGUAUAUGUAUGUUGUUAUAAAAUUACAUUUUGUAUAUAAUGAAAUAAAUUUAGGAAACUGAAGUGUGUAAGAGAUCAUUAAGUUGUACGUCAGGUGUCUGUAUUUUUUUUAAUUGAAGUCUAAUUGUAAAUCUGUUUGCAAAUUUUAAUUCUACAGGUCUUUUUACGUUGAUCUGUAUAUGUAUGUUGUUAUAAAAUUACAUUUUGUAUAUAAUGAAAUAAAUUUAGGAAACUGAAGUGUGUAAGAGAUCAUUAAGUUGUACGUCAGGUGUCUGUAUUUUUUUUAAUUGAAGUCUAAUUGUAAAUCUGUUUGCAAAUUUUAAUUCUACAGGUCUUUUUACGUUGAUCUGUAUAUGUAUGUUGUUAUAAAAUUACAUUUUGUAUAUAAUGAAAUAAAUUUAGGAAACUGAAGUGUGUAAGAGAUCAUUAAGUUGUACGUCAGGUGUCUGUAUUUUUUUUAAUUGAAGUCUAAUUGUAAAUCUGUUUGCAAAUUUUAAUUCUACAGGUCUUUUUACGUUGAUCUGUAUAUGUAUGUUGUUAUAAAAUUACAUUUUGUAUAUAAUGAAAUAAAUUUAGGAAACUGAAGUGUGUAAGAGAUCAUUAAGUUGUACGUCAGGUGUCUGUAUUUUUUUUAAUUGAAGUCUAAUUGUAAAUCUGUUUGCAAAUUUUAAUUCUACAGGUCUUUUUACGUUGAUCUGUAUAUGUAUGUUGUUAUAAAAUUACAUUUUGUAUAUAAUGAAAUAAAUUUAGGAAACUGAAGUGUGUAAGAGAUCAUUAAGUUGUACGUCAGGUGUCUGUAUUUUUUUUAAUUGAAGUCUAAUUGUAAAUCUGUUUGCAAAUUUUAAUUCUACAGGUCUUUUUACGUUGAUCUGUAUAUGUAUGUUGUUAUAAAAUUACAUUUUGUAUAUAAUGAAAUAAAUUUAGGAAACUGAAGUGUGUAAGAGAUCAUUAAGUUGUACGUCAGGUGUCUGUAUUUUUUUUAAUUGAAGUCUAAUUGUAAAUCUGUUUGCAAAUUUUAAUUCUACAGGUCUUUUUACGUUGAUCUGUAUAUGUAUGUUGUUAUAAAAUUACAUUUUGUAUAUAAUGAAAUAAAUUUAGGAAACUGAAGUGUGUAAGAGAUCAUUAAGUUGUACGUCAGGUGUCUGUAUUUUUUUUAAUUGAAGUCUAAUUGUAAAUCUGUUUGCAAAUUUUAAUUCUACAGGUCUUUUUACGUUGAUCUGUAUAUGUAUGUUGUUAUAAAAUUACAUUUUGUAUAUAAUGAAAUAAAUUUAGGAAACUGAAGUGUGUAAGAGAUCAUUAAGUUGUACGUCAGGUGUCUGUAUUUUUUUUAAUUGAAGUCUAAUUGUAAAUCUGUUUGCAAAUUUUAAUUCUACAGGUCUUUUUACGUUGAUCUGUAUAUGUAUGUUGUUAUAAAAUUACAUUUUGUAUAUAAUGAAAUAAAUUUAGGAAACUGAAGUGUGUAAGAGAUCAUUAAGUUGUACGUCAGGUGUCUGUAUUUUUUUUAAUUGAAGUCUAAUUGUAAAUCUGUUUGCAAAUUUUAAUUCUACAGGUCUUUUUACGUUGAUCUGUAUAUGUAUGUUGUUAUAAAAUUACAUUUUGUAUAUAAUGAAAUAAAUUUAGGAAACUGAAGUGUGUAAGAGAUCAUUAAGUUGUACGUCAGGUGUCUGUAUUUUUUUUAAUUGAAGUCUAAUUGUAAAUCUGUUUGCAAAUUUUAAUUCUACAGGUCUUUUUACGUUGAUCUGUAUAUGUAUGUUGUUAUAAAAUUACAUUUUGUAUAUAAUGAAAUAAAUUUAGGAAACUGAAGUGUGUAAGAGAUCAUUAAGUUGUACGUCAGGUGUCUGUAUUUUUUUUAAUUGAAGUCUAAUUGUAAAUCUGUUUGCAAAUUUUAAUUCUACAGGUCUUUUUACGUUGAUCUGUAUAUGUAUGUUGUUAUAAAAUUACAUUUUGUAUAUAAUGAAAUAAAUUUAGGAAACUGAAGUGUGUAAGAGAUCAUUAAGUUGUACGUCAGGUGUCUGUAUUUUUUUUAAUUGAAGUCUAAUUGUAAAUCUGUUUGCAAAUUUUAAUUCUACAGGUCUUUUUACGUUGAUCUGUAUAUGUAUGUUGUUAUAAAAUUACAUUUUGUAUAUAAUGAAAUAAAUUUAGGAAACUGAAGUGUGUAAGAGAUCAUUAAGUUGUACGUCAGGUGUCUGUAUUUUUUUUAAUUGAAGUCUAAUUGUAAAUCUGUUUGCAAAUUUUAAUUCUACAGGUCUUUUUACGUUGAUCUGUAUAUGUAUGUUGUUAUAAAAUUACAUUUUGUAUAUAAUGAAAUAAAUUUAGGAAACUGAAGUGUGUAAGAGAUCAUUAAGUUGUACGUCAGGUGUCUGUAUUUUUUUUAAUUGAAGUCUAAUUGUAAAUCUGUUUGCAAAUUUUAAUUCUACAGGUCUUUUUACGUUGAUCUGUAUAUGUAUGUUGUUAUAAAAUUACAUUUUGUAUAUAAUGAAAUAAAUUUAGGAAACUGAAGUGUGUAAGAGAUCAUUAAGUUGUACGUCAGGUGUCUGUAUUUUUUUUAAUUGAAGUCUAAUUGUAAAUCUGUUUGCAAAUUUUAAUUCUACAGGUCUUUUUACGUUGAUCUGUAUAUGUAUGUUGUUAUAAAAUUACAUUUUGUAUAUAAUGAAAUAAAUUUAGGAAACUGAAGUGUGUAAGAGAUCAUUAAGUUGUACGUCAGGUGUCUGUAUUUUUUUUAAUUGAAGUCUAAUUGUAAAUCUGUUUGCAAAUUUUAAUUCUACAGGUCUUUUUACGUUGAUCUGUAUAUGUAUGUUGUUAUAAAAUUACAUUUUGUAUAUAAUGAAAUAAAUUUAGGAAACUGAAGUGUGUAAGAGAUCAUUAAGUUGUACGUCAGGUGUCUGUAUUUUUUUUAAUUGAAGUCUAAUUGUAAAUCUGUUUGCAAAUUUUAAUUCUACAGGUCUUUUUACGUUGAUCUGUAUAUGUAUGUUGUUAUAAAAUUACAUUUUGUAUAUAAUGAAAUAAAUUUAGGAAACUGAAGUGUGUAAGAGAUCAUUAAGUUGUACGUCAGGUGUCUGUAUUUUUUUUAAUUGAAGUCUAAUUGUAAAUCUGUUUGCAAAUUUUAAUUCUACAGGUCUUUUUACGUUGAUCUGUAUAUGUAUGUUGUUAUAAAAUUACAUUUUGUAUAUAAUGAAAUAAAUUUAGGAAACUGAAGUGUGUAAGAGAUCAUUAAGUUGUACGUCAGGUGUCUGUAUUUUUUUUAAUUGAAGUCUAAUUGUAAAUCUGUUUGCAAAUUUUAAUUCUACAGGUCUUUUUACGUUGAUCUGUAUAUGUAUGUUGUUAUAAAAUUACAUUUUGUAUAUAAUGAAAUAAAUUUAGGAAACUGAAGUGUGUAAGAGAUCAUUAAGUUGUACGUCAGGUGUCUGUAUUUUUUUUAAUUGAAGUCUAAUUGUAAAUCUGUUUGCAAAUUUUAAUUCUACAGGUCUUUUUACGUUGAUCUGUAUAUGUAUGUUGUUAUAAAAUUACAUUUUGUAUAUAAUGAAAUAAAUUUAGGAAACUGAAGUGUGUAAGAGAUCAUUAAGUUGUACGUCAGGUGUCUGUAUUUUUUUUAAUUGAAGUCUAAUUGUAAAUCUGUUUGCAAAUUUUAAUUCUACAGGUCUUUUUACGUUGAU